Paramisgurnus dabryanus is the source of this 561-nucleotide non-coding RNA. The record is from RefSeq and is a predicted model, not a curated record. NCBI's taxonomy places the organism in Eukaryota, Metazoa, Chordata, Actinopteri, Cypriniformes, Cobitidae.
AGGAGUUAAGGCAGAUGUGGAGGCACAACGGGUGAUACCAGACACACACCAAGCACAUUAUGUUCGGACAUUCAAUCAUGACAUGAUCCAUGUGGACGCUGUCCAUUGAGGAAAGAGUUUGUUCAGAGGUUUCUGGAUAGAAUUAAUUCCAAAGAUGGGAAAAAGUCCACAUCCAGACAAGGAGCAAGCAAAAAGACAAGGAACUUGGUGCAGAGAAAAGCUGUGGCCAUUAACCCCCAUGUGAACAGCUUCAUGCAGUCCCUGAUAGAGUUUGAAUGGACGACUUCAAAGUAAAGGCCAGUGUCUGUCUGCCACAGUUUAAUGCAUUUAUUUUUAGUGUUCAAUGAAAUUCAAGUAGAAUAUUUAAAACUAUGGGCCAGUGUUCUUUUGACCACAGUGAAAUUUUACCUUUUAGUUGAUGAUGGACUUUAAACUGAAAACUUCAAACUAUGGAACAGUGUUCUUUUUACCACAGUGAAAUGUUACCUUUUAGUCGAUGAUGGACUUUAAACUGAAAACUUCAAACUAUGGACUAGUGUUCUAUUUGCCAGAGUUAAAUAU